Molecule: ribosomal RNA, 253 nt
Filed under: uncultured bacterium
Lineage: Bacteria
Description: partial 16S ribosomal RNA
Rfam family: Bacterial small subunit ribosomal RNA
Source: RNAcentral
UACGUAGGGCGCAAGCGUUGUCCGGAAUCAUUGGGCGUAAAGAGCGUGUAGGCGGUUCGGUAAGUCGGCUGUGAAAGCCCAGGGCUCAACCCUGGGAUGCCGGUCGAUACUGCCGGACUAGAGUUCGGAAGAGGCGAGUGGAAUUCCCGGUGUAGCGGUGAAGUGCGCAGAUAUCGGGAGGAACACCUAUGGCGAAGGCAGCUCGCUGGGACGUUACUGACGCUGAGACGCGAAAGCGUGGGGAGCAAACAGG